GUUCCCGUAGCUCAAUGGAUAGAGCCAGCGUUUCCUAAACGCUAGAUGCGAGUUCGAUUCUCGCCGGGAACA
Molecule: transfer RNA, 72 nt
Filed under: Chthoniobacter flavus
Lineage: Bacteria; Pseudomonadati; Verrucomicrobiota; Spartobacteria; Chthoniobacterales; Chthoniobacteraceae
Also listed under: 3 other names
Description: tRNA-Arg
Rfam family: tRNA
About the family: Transfer RNA (tRNA) molecules are approximately 80 nucleotides in length. Their secondary structure includes four short double-helical elements and three loops (D, anti-codon, and T loops).
Source: RNAcentral